RNAcentral lists this ribosomal RNA (435 nucleotides) under Triticum aestivum (bread wheat). Its description in RNAcentral is "partial small subunit ribosomal RNA". Lineage: Eukaryota; Viridiplantae; Streptophyta; Magnoliopsida; Poales; Poaceae. The record is from RNAcentral.
AUGCUACCGACAAAUAUGCUCAAUGCUGCAACCGGUGCUAUGCGGAGUCUGCAUGACAGUGUUCUUUCUUUGGAGAAGCGGCGUCUCAGGGAGAAGGAUGUGGCAUACCCAGUUUUCGCGGCCAAGGUGCCAGAGGGCAAGGGCUUUGUGGAUAACUCCAUCGGGCGUACGAUCGUCCUGCAUUUUGAUGACAUCCACGCUAUGUUGAACCUUCAUCCGCUGCACAACACCUUCGUUCGGCUAUUUUCGCUGAGUAUGGAGAUGCGGAUCAUUCGCGACAAGACCCCGGACAUCGUGAUAGUCGACCCCUUCUACAUGCGUGCCAAGAUCUUGGGCAGCGCUGGGGACCGGCAAGUCGCGAGUUCUUACCUCGAAGGCGUCAUUCUGGCAAACCAAGAUAAGGAUAACUUCCUCGUGCCUUACUUUCCCGAGUAA